CUCCGGUUGAUCCUGCCGGACCCGACUGCUAUCGGAUUGGUACUAAGCCAUGCGAGUCAUUGUAGCAAUACAAGGCGGACGGCUCAGUAACACGUAGUCAACCUAACUCGUGGACGUGGAUAACCUCGGGAAACUGAGAAUAAACCACGAUAGACCAUAGUGCCUGGAAUGGCUUAUGGUCCAAACAGUUUACUGCCAUGGGAUGGGACUGCGGCCUAUCAGCUUGUUGGUGAGGUAAUGGCCCACCAAGGCGAUUACAGGUACGGGCUCUGAGGGGAGAAGCCCGGAGAUGGGUACUGAGACACGGACCCAGGCCCUAUGGGGCGCAGCAGGCGAGAAACCUUAGCAAUGUGCGAAAGCACGACUGGGUCAGUCCGAGUGAUUCCUGAUAAAGGAGUCUUUUGCUUGUCCUAAAAGCACAGGUGAAUAAGGGGUGGGCAAGUCUGGUGUCAGCCGCCGCGGUAAUACCAGCACCUCGAGUGGUCAGGACGUUUAUUGGGCCUAAAGCAUCCGUAGCCGGCUUUGCAAGUCUUCGGUUAAAUCCACCUGCUCAACAGAUGGGCUGCUGGAGAUACUACAAAGCUAGGGAGUGGGAGAGGCAGACGGUAUUCAGUGGGUAGGGGUAAAAUCCUCUGAUCCAUUGAGGACCACCAGUGGCGAAGGCGGUCUGCCAGAACACGUUCGACGGUGAGGGAUGAAAGCUGGGGGAGCAAACCGGAUUAGAUACCCGGGUAGUCCCAGCUGUAAACGAUGCAAACUCGGUGAUGCAUUGGCUUAUGGCCAAUGCAGUGCCGCAGGGAAGCCGUUAAGUUUGCCGCCUGGGAAGUACGGACGCAAGUCUGAAACUUAAAGGAAUUGGCGGGGGAGCA
This 869-nucleotide ribosomal RNA is filed under the name uncultured archaeon. RNAcentral describes it as "bacterial SSU rRNA". It matches the Rfam family "Archaeal small subunit ribosomal RNA", at positions 1 to 878 of the family's 1478-position model. The record is from RNAcentral.